AGACAUCGCGGUCGUAUUCGAGGCUUGCGAGUACCAUCUGAAAACUUCGCUGCACGGUGAAGAAAGACUUCGUGGGCUUGCGAAAAUAAUCGAGCGCGGCCAUCGUCACUGACGGCCAGAAAUCAAUCGCAUGAAAGUGAAGAAUCCCUCCGGCGUCAUACUUUCGCCGCCUCAUUCGCUCGAUCGCCAGUUGAUGAAGCCUCGCAACAUAAGCCUGAGUCUGUGGAAUGUAUUCUUUGAGGGAUUUGCCCGAAGGAACGCCCCACGCGCGCAUCGCUUCUGUGAUCUGCAGCUUGCGGAAGAUCCAUUCUUCUUUGUGGUCUUCGAUGGGCCAGUGGCUGGGAAGAAACUGCAU
Molecule: unclassified non-coding RNA, 355 nt
Filed under: uncultured bacterium
Lineage: Bacteria
Description: contains 16S-23S intergenic spacer region
Source: RNAcentral